AAUGACUUGGGAAGCCAUGAAGUGGGAGGGCACGCUGGCGUGAAGAGACUUGGAGUCUAAAAGCCGAUUUAACACACUUCUACUAAAAUGCUCAGAGUCUGAACAAAUAUUUGCAACAGGUAAACUGAGGGAGUAAAGGGGCGGAGAGAAUUCAAGGUUGGCGGGAAGAGAGAUGGAUGGGGGUCACUGUGUGUUAGAGAGAUGUUGUGUGGAUGCUUAAGUUGUAGGUGUGAAGCUGGAGGUCCAGUAGGGACAUAAGUCCCCUUUGAAGCGCUCCUCUUUCCAAUGUGCUGCUGAAGCAGCUUGCGUAGAAGAGGGCUUCAGCCUCCUGGUUCUUUUCUUCUGGCGCGGGAACUCAGGCCGGAUAAGAAGAGGAUCUGAAGGACUAGCAGCUAGCAGCCAGCCGGGUGGCUGAGCGUCAGAGCUGAGCGGUACUGGGGAAACACUAGCCUGCCUCGCGUGGCGGUCCGCGGUGUUUCUGCGGCAGCUGCAGGAAGCUCGGCCCGGGAGAAAAGCAUCUUCACCGGGGAUCCGCGACUUGCUCACGUAGGCGGCGGUCGAGACUUCGGAGCGUUAGACCAGCUUGCUGAGAGGCUUCUGCUCUGUCCCUGGCUCCCCGGCAAGGCAUGGGCAGGCAUUUCUCUAGAGGCACAAGGAGCUGGAGGCGCUGAGGAAUCCUGAAAACCCCGGCCAGAGAAACACGGAGUUCCUCCGCCUGGCUCAGGACCGAGGCCUCUGCCACUAAGUGGAUGGUGCUUAACCUUGCCAGAAUGAAACGGGUGAAAGUUGUGGGGGCCGCACAACGGGGCCGCACAGGCCUAGAGGAACAGAAUCCUACUAUAGUCGAGACCUGGGUCCCUACCCAGCCUGCCUAAGGGGACUGGGUAGGAGUGAGAAGUGAAUCAAAGUCCACCCGGCCACUUCCUAGAGUGCCUGCUCUAUCCACCUACUGCUGUACCACCGAACAGGCAAGCACAUUCGUCCCAGUCUUCUUAGCUCUGGCUGCUCACCCAGGGUCUGGAAGGUGAUCCCUCGGGGCGCCCUGCAGUUGUGUUUCCCAGCCUUGUGCGCACAAGAGGCACUCUUUCUCCACCUGGGAUUAGGGUGCUGAUCCUGCAAAGGACAGCAAGAAGUCAGUUCCCAGGAAUGUGUGACUCCUAUUUCCACUCAGAAAAAAAAAAAAAAAAAGCCUAAAAGAGAUUCUGAUCUACAAUCCCAACACACACACACACACACACACACACACACACACACACCUCGGGCUCCUUAAAGACUGAAAAGGGAGCCGACAGAGGAAUUCAGGGAAGCGAUGACACAUGCAACAAUUCUGUCACACCUGGCUGCUGAGGAGGAGCUGAGCGGCCGGAAAUGGAGCCGUGGAGGGGGUGGGGGAUGAGACCCAGGGUCAGCUUGGGUGGUCAA
Molecule: long non-coding RNA, 1422 nt
Filed under: Mus musculus (house mouse)
Lineage: Eukaryota; Metazoa; Chordata; Mammalia; Rodentia; Muridae
Description: long non-coding RNA chr9:98951843-98953265
Source: RNAcentral